Molecule: ribosomal RNA, 424 nt
Filed under: uncultured bacterium
Lineage: Bacteria
Description: partial 16S ribosomal RNA
Rfam family: Bacterial small subunit ribosomal RNA
Source: RNAcentral
AAUAUUGGACACUGGGGGGAACCCUGAUCCAGCCAUGCCGCUUGUUUGAAGAAGGUCUUCGGUUUGUCACGCACUUUAAGUUGGGAGGCAGAGUUCUAGGCUAAUACCUUCAAUCUUUUCCGUUACCAACAGAAUAAGCACCGGCUAACUCUGUGCCAGCAUCCGAGGUAAUACAGAGGGUGCAAGCGUUAAUCGGAAUUACUGGGCGUAAAGCGCGCGUAGGUGGUUCAGUAAGAUGGAAGUGAAAUACCCGGGCUUAAACUGGGAACUGCUUUCAGAACUGCUGAGCUAGAGUACGGUAGAGGGUAGUGGAAUUUCCUGUGUAGCGGUGAAAUGCGUAGAUAUAGGAAGGAACACCAGUGGCGAAGGCGACUACCUGGACUGAUACUGACACUGAGGUGCGAAAGCGUGGGGAGCAAACAGG